GUGGGUAUAGCUCAGUGGCAGAGUGCAUGCUUAGCAUGCACAAGGUCCUGGGUUCAAUCCUCAGUACUUUCA
This 72-nucleotide transfer RNA is filed under the name Camelus bactrianus (Bactrian camel). It matches the Rfam family "tRNA". From Rfam's summary of the family: Transfer RNA (tRNA) molecules are approximately 80 nucleotides in length. Their secondary structure includes four short double-helical elements and three loops (D, anti-codon, and T loops). Further hydrogen bonds mediate the characteristic L-shaped molecular structure. tRNAs have two regions of fundamental functional importance: the anti-codon, which is responsible for specific mRNA codon recognition, and the 3' end, to which the tRNAs corresponding amino acid is attached (by aminoacyl-tRNA synthetases). tRNAs cope with the degeneracy of the genetic code in two manners: having more than one tRNA (with a specific anti-codon) for a particular amino acid; and 'wobble' base-pairing, i.e. permitting non-standard base-pairing at the 3rd anti-codon position. The record is from Rfam by way of RNAcentral. Lineage: Eukaryota; Metazoa; Chordata; Mammalia; Artiodactyla; Camelidae. RNAcentral also lists the same sequence under 3 other names.